CGGCAGCACGGGAGCAAUCCUGGUGGCGAGUGGCGAACGGGUGAGUAAUACAUCGGAACGUGUCCUGUAGUGGGGGAUAGCCCGGCGAAAGCCGGAUUAAUACCGCAUACGCUCUACGGAGGAAAGGGGGGGAUCUUAGGACCUCUCGCUACAGGGGCGGCCGAUGGCAGAUUAGCUAGUUGGUGGGGUAAAGGCCUACCAAGGCGACGAUCUGUAGCUGGUCUGAGAGGACGACCAGCCACACUGGGACUGAGACACGGCCCAGACUCCUACGGGAGGCAGCAGUGGGGAAUUUUGGACAAUGGGCGCAAGCCUGAUCCAGCAAUGCCGCGUGUGUGAAGAAGGCCUUCGGGUUGUAAAGCACUUUUGUCCGNAAAGAAAACCUCGUGGUUAAUACCCGUGGGGGNAUGACGGUACCGGAANAAUAAGCACCGGCUAACUACGUGCCAGCAGCCGCGGUAAUACGUA
RNAcentral lists this ribosomal RNA (468 nucleotides) under uncultured bacterium. RNAcentral describes it as "bacterial SSU rRNA". It matches the Rfam family "Bacterial small subunit ribosomal RNA", at positions 67 to 529 of the family's 1533-position model. The record is from RNAcentral.